Molecule: ribosomal RNA, 301 nt
Filed under: uncultured bacterium
Lineage: Bacteria
Description: bacterial SSU rRNA
Rfam family: Bacterial small subunit ribosomal RNA
Source: RNAcentral
GAUGAAUGCUGGCGGCAUGCCUAAUACAUGCAAGUCGAGCGGUAACAGGACUAGCUUGCUAGUUGCUGACGAGCGGCGGACGGCUGAGUAACGCGUGGGAACGGACCCCAAACUGAGGGAUAACGCACCGAAAGGUGUGCUAAUACCGCAUGUGAUCUUCGGAUUAAAGCUUUCGAGCGGUUUGGGACUGGCCUGCGUACGAUUAGAUAGUUGGUGAGGUAAUGGCUCACCAAGUCGACGAUCGUUAGAUGGUUUGAGAGGAUGAUCAUCCAGACUGGGACUGAGACACGGCCCAGACUCC